UGCGCAGGCGGGUUAAUAAGUCAGUGGUGAAAUAUUACCGCUUAACGGUAAAAUUGCCAUUGAAACUGUUAAUCUUGAGUACAGUUGAGGUGGGCGGAAUGUGUAAUGUAGCGGUGAAAUGCUUAGAUAUUACACAGAACGCCAAUUGCGAAGGCAGCUCACUAAGCUGUUACUGACGCUCAGGCACGAAAGCGUGGGUAGCGAACAGGAUUAGAUACCCUGGUAGUCC
This 229-nucleotide ribosomal RNA is filed under the name uncultured bacterium. Its description in RNAcentral is "partial 16S ribosomal RNA". It matches the Rfam family "Bacterial small subunit ribosomal RNA", at positions 568 to 796 of the family's 1533-position model. The record is from RNAcentral.